Nematostella vectensis (starlet sea anemone) is the source of this 1016-nucleotide long non-coding RNA. RefSeq lists it as uncharacterized. The transcript has 3 exons. The record is from RefSeq and is a predicted model, not a curated record. Lineage: Eukaryota; Metazoa; Cnidaria; Anthozoa; Actiniaria; Edwardsiidae.
AUGCUUUCUAUGACACCAAUUCUAUGUCCAGCGGGGAAGGGGGGAAUAUAUUCAACAAUUUUACUUUGUUCUAAGUACGAUAAUAGUAAUUUAAAAGUAUUUUAAAAUGUAUACGAGGCAAAAUAUUGCUAUCAUUCUUUUUCAUUUCAAUAUUCUACGUCCAUAACUUGAUGUUGUAUUCUAUUGCUCCUCUUUUCUAUUUUUUUAAGUUUCUCUUUUUUUUUAUUUCAAUAUAGACAAAUAAAAAUCGCAAGAUUCUAAAACCAUAAAUUUGUAAUUCUUAAAGUUAAAGACAUUAUCUUACGGUGCCAUAUUUUUUUAUUAGUUUCUAUCACUACGAGGUGAUUUCAUGUGCAUUAAGUUUUUUUCCAUGACCAUAAGCACUAGGCGAUUUUAUCCUUAAACCCGCGUCUAUCCCGCAGUGCUGGCGGAAACAACAAAAAGCACUUUAGGAUAAAUGUUAUGAGCUCAAAUCCUCAAAUUUCCCCCAGCAAUAUGUUUGAUACAUUGGUGCCCACUCGUUUAUGUCAGUGCGCCUUGCCCGCUCCCACCCUUCGGGAAGUCCUGGAUCCGACCUGCACAAGAACGCAAACCAGGUCCACGUCAAGGGCCGCCAGCCUGUGACACGAGUCUAGAGUCAAACUCCUGACAAACGGCACGUUGAGUGUGAAGCGCUUGAUUCCGCUACUGGAGAUGUAAUAAUAACAGGCAACAUGACUGCAGCAUCAGGUUAGCGAUUCGUGGAGAGUAGACAUGGAUCUGCUUGAGGGCGAGGUCACUAAGCAUGAUAUUUCCUACUGACUCAGCAGCGCGCAAAUCAAUCGCGAGGGAGUUCCCACUGAACAGCAAUCCUGCACGGACCACCAGUAAAUCCUUCAGUGAUACGCACCUGAUAUUGAUACGAUAUGAAUGUAUAAAUAACAUGAAAAAUCUAAUAAUGAUAUCGUGGUGUACACACGCACCCUUAUUUAACACCUAACUAAACCGUUGCUUACCGGUUAACGGCCUUAACUUUA